Molecule: ribosomal RNA, 497 nt
Filed under: uncultured bacterium
Lineage: Bacteria
Description: partial 16S ribosomal RNA
Rfam family: Bacterial small subunit ribosomal RNA
Source: RNAcentral
GAUGAACGCUGGCGGCGUGCCUAAUACAUGCAAGUCGAGCGAACAGACGAGGAGCUUGCUCCUCUGACGUUAGCGGCGGACGGGUGAGUAACACGUGGAUAACCUACCUAUAAGACUGGGAUAACUUCGGGAAACCGGAGCUAAUACCGGAUAACAUGUUGAACCGCAUGGUUCAACAGUGAAAGACGGUCUUGCUGUCACUUAUAGAUGGAUCCGCGCCGCAUUAGCUAGUUGGUAAGGUAACGGCUUACCAAGGCAACGAUGCGUAGCCGACCUGAGAGGGUGAUCGGCCACACUGGAACUGAGACACGGUCCAGACUCCUACGGGAGGCAGCAGUAGGGAAUCUUACGCAAUGGGCGAAAGCCUGACAGAGCAACGCCGCGUGAGUGAAGAAGGUCUUCGGAGCGUAAAACUCUGUUAUUAGGGAAGAACAAAUGUGUAAGUAACUAUGCACGUCUUGACGGUACCGAAUCAGAAAGCCACGGCUAACUACGUG